GGGCCCGUGGUCCAGUGGUUAAGACAUCACCCUCACAAGGUGUCUGGGACCGGUGGUUACCGGGGUUCGAAUCCCCGCGGGCCCACCA
This 88-nucleotide transfer RNA is filed under the name subsurface metagenome. RNAcentral describes it as "tRNA-Val". It matches the Rfam family "tRNA". From Rfam's summary of the family: Transfer RNA (tRNA) molecules are approximately 80 nucleotides in length. Their secondary structure includes four short double-helical elements and three loops (D, anti-codon, and T loops). The record is from RNAcentral.